This 1034-nucleotide long non-coding RNA is filed under the name Physcomitrium patens. RNAcentral's name for it is "long non-coding RNA (PPAT_LNC004578)". The record is from RNAcentral. Lineage: Eukaryota; Viridiplantae; Streptophyta; Bryopsida; Funariales; Funariaceae.
AGGAUAUGUUUAGGAUUUGAUUAGGGUUCAGUUAAAGUUUAUUUGGGUUUGUUUAGUAUUUGGUUAAGGUUUGUUUAGUGUUUGACUAGAAUUUAUUUAGAGUUGAUUUGGGUUUGGUUAGGAUUUGACUAGGAUUUGGUUAGGAUUUGAUUAGGGUUUGGUUAGGACUUCAAUAGGAUUUGAUUAGGAUUUGAUUAGGAUUCGACUAGGAUUUGAUUAGAUUUUGGUUAGGAUUUGAAAAUGAUUAAGAUUUAUUUAGGAUUGACUAAGAAUUGGUUAGGAUUUAAUUAAGGUUUGUUUAAGAUUUGAUUAGGGUUUGAUUAUGAUUUGUUAGGAUUUUAUUAGGAUUUAGUUAGAAUUGAUUAGGAUUUGAUUAAGAUUUGACUAGGAUUUGGUUAAGGUUUGUUUAAGGUUUGAUUAGGGUUUGAUUAAGAUUUGACUAGGAUUUGGUUAAGAUUUGUUUAAGGUUUGAUUAGGAUUUGGUUAGGAUUUGUUAAGAUUUGAUUAGGAUUUAGUUAGAGUUGAUCAAGGUUUGAUUAAGAUUUGACUAGGAUUUGAUUAGGAUUUUAUUAGAGUUUGAUUAGAAUUUGGUUAGGAUUUGAUUGGGAUUUAUUUAGGAUUGAUUAGGAUUUUGUUAGGAUUUGACUAAAGUUUAGUUAGGAUUUGGUUAGGAUUUGAUUAGUAUUUAGUUAGGGUUUGACUAGGAUUUGGUUAAGAUUUGGUUAAGAUUUGACUAAGAUUUUAUUAGAAUUUGAUUAGGAUUUGACUAGGAUUUAAUUAAGAUUUUUAUUUUAAGAUUUUAUUAAGAUUUUUAUUUUAGUAUAUUUUUGAAUUCCUAUAUUAUUUCUUUAUUAUGUCUUUAAAGGAUCUUUAGGAAUAUUUUAUAUUUCUUACAUAAUUCUUUUGUAAUUUUGAUUGAAUUUGAUUGAUGUUUGAUUAUACUUGCUAAUCUUUAAUUGUAAAUUGUUUAAGAAUCUAUUAGAAUUGUUCGGACUUGUUGCAAUUUUCCUUUUAUCUUCCACAACCAGGUGCUU